UUUGCAUAUCGAAUCCUUUUGAAAUUUGACAAGUAGCUUGGGCUGUUCAGAGGGAAGAAGCUAUCAAAGUCCAAAGCAAUAUUCUGGCAGCUAAAAUAGGCUGCAGUGACCUCACAAUGGCGUUUUAGCAAUGGCCCUGCAGGAGGCAUUCAGUAAUGGGCUACUUGGGCUAGACCCUCUCAGCUAAAGGCUAGGCCUAGUCUAGUAAAAAAUGCAAAAGGAAAUAGAGGCAAUUUUCCAAGUAAUUCAGGAGAAAAGCACUUUCAUCUCAACUCUCAAGGGCUUGCUACGUAGGCCAGAACUACACCAACACGCUUUGAUGCUGAAGCAGAAUUUGGUACAAGGUGGCUGUAAGUCAGAUCUCCUGCUAAUUGUGUGAAACUGUUUAUGUUGAUUCAUCUAAGCAGCUGGUCUUUUGAGAGAGAUGCAACAGACCAAAGAACAAAGACAGAAGCUUGAGAAGCCAUGUUAGGACUUGUUGCACAGCAUGGUGACUGCUAUGGAACAUUGGUAUGGAGUUUCAGGAGAAAUAAGGGUGAUAGGAUCCAGCUCCCCCCAGCAGAGUUCUUGGAUGUCAAGUCCUGAUAAAUCCCCGCCGCCUCCUGGGUCCAAGCUCGGGUACCACUAACUUGUCCCAAGAGAGUGGGGAGUGAGACCUGUAAGUCAACUAAUAUAAGGUAGAUGUUUUUGAUGAUACAUUUUAUCACAUUUUAUUUCUCUUAAAACAUUAUUUUCAACACUUAACAAUAAUCCUUAUUUCCUUUGUGAAAUCUAAGGAAGAUAUCUCAUAAGUUUCUUCCCAAAGCCAGCAAACUAUUUGAUCAACCCUGUGAAACUGUCACUUCUUGUAAAACAAAAAUGGCCCAAUAUUAGCAGUUGCAUAAGGUUUUAACUUAGUAGGUAUCAUAUCCACUAUAAUGGUCAUGGGACUACCCCCCAAAUCACUGAAGUUAUUGAUGAUUCACUUCAAAUUCAUCACCAUCUACUUUUUGCUUUCAUAAAUGAGAGGUGAAAAGCCUUCACGUUUAGCGAUCAGUUGUGUUUCUACCCAUCUUACUAGGUACAGCCAAAUCUAAACUCAUUAUCACCACUCACAACCUAGCAAGCUUACUUCUCCUGGAAUGUCUGUUUCAGCAAUUGGCACUCUUACAGAAAAACCUGGGAGCAAUCCUCAAUUUCUCUCUCUCUUUCCUUCAGCGCUCAGCACUUACAGUCACUGAGUUUCAUCAACUGCAACCUUCCUUUCUCAGCCUCAAUGAUACUGACUGCUGCUAUAAUUCAGGACUUUAUCACACCUGCAUUAGUGCGCUAGUCACACAAAUAGUCUCCACAUUUGCAUCUCUUCAUACACAAAUUCAAAUUCCACUGCUGCCAGAGUAACUUUGCAAAUAUUACAAAUCUAAAUAACCCUUUCCUCAUCAGAAAUUUCAUGUUUCCCUAUCGCCUAAGGAUAAACUCUCAAUAGCUAAUUGUACCCACCUGGGAGCACCAUGCACUUUUAUUGUUGGCUUCAUUUGCUUAUCCUGGCUACCAACCCUGGAAUAGCUUACCUCACCCUAUUCCAUCUUGCCCAGCUUGGAAAUCCCUAAUCAUCAUUUAGGACCAAACCCAGGGGCCAUGAAAACUUUUGGCGGGGAGAAGAAUGAGCUUAUUUCAUUUGUUUAUAGUUUAUUUCUAUUUCUUCGGCCUACUUAUAAUCUUCAUUUAUUUAUAGUAAGUUUUUGGACAUCUUCUUAUUUAUUUACAACAGCUUAUUAGAUAUAUUUUGUGAAUGUGUUUUUCAAUUUUAUUUACAUUCAGAUAUCUAUAGAAUAUACUUGCAUAUAUAGUAUGGCUUAGGGAUCAAACUAUUUUUUUCCCAAAUAGAGUUACUUGUCCUGAAGCCAUCUUUUCUUUAUGGUUCUGAUAAAAGUUUUAUAGAAAUCUCUAAUAUUUUUCAUUGAUUUCCUCUGUCUACAUAAAUCAAACUAUACCAAUAAUGCUUUAAAAUGUUUUUUAGUAUUUGAUAAAACAAAUUCUUACUACUUGCUCUUAACUACCUAAAUUUCCUUCAUUAUUUUCCUGCAUCUUCUCUUCUAAGUAAACUUUAGAAUCAGUUUAUCAAAUUUCAUUUGGGUUUUAAUUAGAAUUGCUCUCUAUGUAUAGAGUAAUUUGUUUUUGUUUUUUAAUUUAUUAUUAUUAUACUUUAAGUUUUAGGGUAC
RNAcentral lists this long non-coding RNA (2201 nucleotides) under Homo sapiens (human). RNAcentral describes it as "HSALNT0372613". The record is from RNAcentral. Lineage: Eukaryota; Metazoa; Chordata; Mammalia; Primates; Hominidae.